Long non-coding RNA from Mytilus californianus (California mussel), 446 nucleotides. RefSeq lists it as uncharacterized. Lineage: Eukaryota; Metazoa; Mollusca; Bivalvia; Mytilida; Mytilidae. The record is from RefSeq and is a predicted model, not a curated record. The transcript is spliced from 3 exons.
CAAAAGCGCGGGAAUUUUAUGGAAACACCUUACAACAAAAUGAAUGGACACUGUUUCAGUGAGAGAAGAUUGAUAAGGUUAUCAAAGAACCUUUCUAUCAGAAUUGGUAAAACAUUACCAAUUAUAACCGAUGGAGAGUUUUAUUCUGUACACAAAUACCACAGUAAAGGGACAUUCCCUUGGAUUAUACCCAAUGAGAUCCACAUUGAACUUGGACAUACAACUCCAAUCCGAAAGAACUUAGAUGCAACUGUGAAAACAGCACUAGGUGAUAUGCAAAUUAGGACAAAAGAAGAACUUCAGUAAAAUAUGGCAAAACCAGAGAACUAUCUUUCAACAUAUAAGCUUAAUACGAAAAACACGUCUCUAGUGAACUUCCAAUACUAAUUUUCAUUAAGUAUUUCGGAUAAAUGUUUUUUGAUGAUAGAUUAGAUAUAUCAUUAUCA